GCGCCCCUAGCUCAACGGCAGAGCAACGGACUCUUAAUCCGGAGGUUGGGCGGUUCAAGUCCUCCCGGGGCGCA
RNAcentral lists this transfer RNA (74 nucleotides) under Streptosporangiaceae bacterium. RNAcentral describes it as "tRNA-Lys". It matches the Rfam family "tRNA". From Rfam's summary of the family: Transfer RNA (tRNA) molecules are approximately 80 nucleotides in length. Their secondary structure includes four short double-helical elements and three loops (D, anti-codon, and T loops). Further hydrogen bonds mediate the characteristic L-shaped molecular structure. tRNAs have two regions of fundamental functional importance: the anti-codon, which is responsible for specific mRNA codon recognition, and the 3' end, to which the tRNAs corresponding amino acid is attached (by aminoacyl-tRNA synthetases). tRNAs cope with the degeneracy of the genetic code in two manners: having more than one tRNA (with a specific anti-codon) for a particular amino acid; and 'wobble' base-pairing, i.e. permitting non-standard base-pairing at the 3rd anti-codon position. The record is from RNAcentral. Lineage: Bacteria; Bacillati; Actinomycetota; Actinomycetes; Streptosporangiales; Streptosporangiaceae.